Molecule: ribosomal RNA, 468 nt
Filed under: uncultured bacterium
Lineage: Bacteria
Description: partial 16S ribosomal RNA
Rfam family: Bacterial small subunit ribosomal RNA
Source: RNAcentral
GACGAACGCUGGCGGCGUGCUUAACACAUGCAAGUCGAACGGAAAGGCCCUGCUUUUGUGGGGUGCUCGAGUGGCGAACGGGUGAGUAACACGUGAGUAACCUGCCCUUGACUUUGGGAUAACUUCAGGAAACUGGGGCUCAUACCGGAUAGGAGCUCCUGCUGCAUGUUGGGGGUUGGAAAGUUUCGGCGGUUGGGGAUGGACUCGCGGCUUAUCAGCUUGUUGGUGGGGUAGUGGCUUACGAAGCCUGUGACGGGUAGCCGGCCUGAGAGGGUGACCGGGCUCAUGAGGACUGAGAUACGGAGCAGACUCCUACGUGAGGCAGCAGUGGGAAGUAUGGCACAAUGGGCGGGAGCCUGAGACGGCGACGCCGCGUGCGGAAUGACGUGCUUCGGGUUGUAAACCGCUUUCGCCUGAGACGAAGCGUGAGUGACGGUAAUGGGUAAAGAAGCACCGGCUAACUACGUG